GCGUCGACGGGUAGCCGGCCUGAGAGGGUGACCGGCCACACUGGGACUGAGACACGGCCCAGACUCCUACGGGAGGCAGCAGUGGGGAAUAUUGCACAAUGGGCGCAAGCCUGAUGCAGCAACGCCGCGUGCGGGAUGACGGCCUUCGGGUUGUAAACCGCUUUUAGUAGGGAAGAAGCCUUCGGGUGACGGUACCUGCAGAAAAAGGACCGGCUAACUACGUGCCAGCAGCCGCGGUAAUACGUAGGGUCCGAGCGUUGUCCGGAAUUAUUGGGCGUAAAGAGCUCGUAGGCGGUUUGUCGCGUCUGCUGUGAAAACUAGAGGCUCAACCUCUAGCCUGCAGUGGGUACGGGCAGACUUGAGUGGUGUAGGGGAGACUGGAAUUCCUGGUGUAGCGGUGGAAUGCGCAGAUAUCAGGAGGAACACCGAUGGCGAAGGCAGGUCUCUGGGCACUUACUGACGCUGAGGAGCGAAAGCGUGGGGAGCGAACAGGAUUAGAUACCCUGGUAGUCCACGCCGUAAACGUUGGGCGCUAGAUGUGGGGACCUUUCCACGGUUUCCGUGUCGUAGCUAACGCAUUAAGCGCCCCGCUGGG
Molecule: ribosomal RNA, 595 nt
Filed under: Agromyces sp.
Lineage: Bacteria; Bacillati; Actinomycetota; Actinomycetes; Micrococcales; Microbacteriaceae
Description: bacterial SSU rRNA
Rfam family: Bacterial small subunit ribosomal RNA
Source: RNAcentral